CCUACGGGAGGCAGCAGUGGGGAAUAUUGCACAAUGGGGGGAACCCUGAUGCAGCGACGCCGCGUGGGUGAAGGAGUACUUCGGUACGUAAAGCCCUAUCAGCAGGAAAGAAAAUGACGGUACCUGACUAAGAAGCCCCGGCUAACUACGUGCCAGCAGCCGCGGUAAUACGUAGGGGGCAAGCGUUAUCCGGAUUUAUUGGGUUUAAAGGGUGCGUAGGCGGACUGUUAAGUCAGCGGUAAAAGCCCGGGGCUCAACCCCGGCGAGCCGUUGAAACUGGCUGUCUUGAGAUGUCGAGAGGUAUG
This 305-nucleotide ribosomal RNA is filed under the name uncultured bacterium. RNAcentral describes it as "bacterial SSU rRNA". It matches the Rfam family "Bacterial small subunit ribosomal RNA", at positions 338 to 661 of the family's 1533-position model. The record is from RNAcentral.